UUACGUUUAUAGUUGACUUGAAGCUACCCCUAUUUGCCCAUCCUUUUUUUUAGGAAAAAUAGAGAGAGUUUUCCCUUCAGAGUUCGGACGAUUUGUGAGUAUCGGUGGCGACGAGAACGCAGGAGACGGCGGUAUGGUGCUCAGCGAUUUGGCUCGGAGUGAAUUAAUCGAUUGGCUGCUUGAUGGGGCAGCGUGCUACUCCGCGGCGCGGUCUUGGCGCUGUGGUUUUCACUGGGCCGUUGGGACAGAGUGUUGAGCUGCAUCUGCCUAGGUCUUGGGUGGCGUCGUGCGGGGUCGAUGCGGCGUAGCUAUGGCGGGUGAUUGUGGCAGCGCUGCAGUGUGUGGCCGUGCUUGCGCUGCUACAUGAUGGCAUUCCCUCUUCCCUAACGUUUGACUUGAAGUUUGGUUGGGUGUGAGUGCACGGGAUGAGCAGGAAGAAUGUCGACGGCGAGGUGAGAAACAUCUGGCAAAUUGCGGACAAAGGUCAAGGAAGGUGGUUGGAACCACAAUGUGGCCCCGAAAUCAACCACCAACAGGCAGACAAAGAGGAGGUGAUUCACCAACGUAGCGUGGCGUUGAAGAGUGGGUAACUAGUCCACACUCUAAAAUUGAGGUUUGGAGCAAUAAAAAGAGUGAUUUUGUUCGUGAAUCAUGUUUAAAAUUUCUUUAGCAAACAAGCACUAGCACUAGGGGCGGAUCCUAGAUCCGCCACUAACUAGCAGCACCGUUUCAGAUCUGCUUCUUGUUGGUUCAUGUUGACAUGUCAAUGAAGAGAUAAAGUAAAAUAGAAAAAAUACAGUAUAUUCGUUUAAUUCUUCUCUUGUGUAGACCAAAAAUUAGCGGGUCAAUGAAAUUUUAUUUUUCUUGCAAAUUA
Long non-coding RNA from Hordeum vulgare subsp. vulgare (domesticated barley), 874 nucleotides. RefSeq lists it as uncharacterized. The record is from RefSeq and is a predicted model, not a curated record. NCBI's taxonomy places the organism in Eukaryota, Viridiplantae, Streptophyta, Magnoliopsida, Poales, Poaceae. The transcript has 2 exons.